UACAGAGGGUGCGAGCGUUAAUCGGAAUUACUGGGCGUAAAGCGCGCGUAGGCGGCUUUGCAAGUCGGGUGUGAAAUCCCCAGGCUUAACCUGGGAACUGCAUCCGAGACUGCAUAGCUAGAGUAUGGGAGAGGGAAGUGGAAUUUCAGGUGUAGCGGUGAAAUGCGUAGAUAUCUGAAGGAACAUCAGUGGCGAAAGCGACUUCCUGGACCAAUACUGACGCUCAUGUGCGAAAGCGUGGGGAGCAAACAGG
This 253-nucleotide ribosomal RNA is filed under the name uncultured bacterium. RNAcentral's name for it is "partial 16S ribosomal RNA". It matches the Rfam family "Bacterial small subunit ribosomal RNA", at positions 524 to 776 of the family's 1533-position model. The record is from RNAcentral.